This 429-nucleotide ribosomal RNA is filed under the name Verrucomicrobiota bacterium. RNAcentral describes it as "Verrucomicrobia bacterium partial 16S ribosomal RNA". It matches the Rfam family "Bacterial small subunit ribosomal RNA", at positions 355 to 776 of the family's 1533-position model. The record is from RNAcentral. Lineage: Bacteria; Pseudomonadati; Verrucomicrobiota.
UAGGGAAUCUUCCGCAAUGGACGAAAGUCUGACGGAGCAACGCCGCGUGAGUGAAGAAGGAUUUCGGUUCGUAAAACUCUGUUGUUAGGGAAGAAAAAAUGUAUAGUAACUAUAUACAAAAGAGACGGUACCUAACCAGAAAGCUACGGCUAACUACGUGCCAGCAGCCGCGGUAAUACGUAGGUGGCAAGCGUUGUCCGGAAUUAUUGGGCGUAAAGCGCGCGCAGGUGGUUUAGAAAGUAUGAUGUGAAAGCCCACGGCUCAACCGUGGAGGGUCAUUGGAAUCUAAUAAACUUGAGUGCAGGAGAGAAAAGUGGAAUUCCUAGUGUAGCGGUGAAAUGCGUAGAGAUUAGGAGGAACACCGGUGGCGAAAGCGGCUUUUUGGCCUGCAACUGACACUGAGGCGCGAAAGCGUGGGGAGCAAACAGG